GACCCACUAGCUCAUCUGGCAGAGCACAACACUUUUAAUGUUGGGGUACCGCGUUCGAGUCGCGGGUGGGUCACCA
RNAcentral lists this transfer RNA (76 nucleotides) under Candidatus Omnitrophota bacterium. Its description in RNAcentral is "tRNA-Lys". It matches the Rfam family "tRNA". From Rfam's summary of the family: Transfer RNA (tRNA) molecules are approximately 80 nucleotides in length. Their secondary structure includes four short double-helical elements and three loops (D, anti-codon, and T loops). Lineage: Bacteria; Pseudomonadati; Candidatus Omnitrophota. The record is from RNAcentral.